UGCGAAUGGGCGAAGCCUGACGCAGCGACGCCGCGUGGGGGAUGAAGCUUCUCGGAGUGUAAACCCCUUUCGACCCGGAAGAAUGACCCGCAAGGGUUUGACGGUACGGGUAUAAGAAGCCCCGGCUAACUACGUGCCAGCAGCCGCGGUAAGACGUAGGGGGCCAGCGUUGCUCGGAAUUACUGGGCGUAAAGGGUUCGUAGGCGGUGUGGCAAGUCGGGAGUGAAAUCUCCAGGCUUAACUUGGAGGCUGCUUCCGAAACUGCCAUGCUAGAGUGCGGGAGAGGCGAGUGGAAUUGCAGGUGUAGCGGUGAAAUGCGUAGAUAUCUGCAGGAACACCCGUGGCGAAGGCGGCUCGCUGGACCGCAACUGACGCUGAGGAACGAAAGCUAGGGGAGCAAACAGGAUUAGAUACCCUGGUAGUCCUAGCCCUAAACCAUCAGGACUUGGGGUGCAUCCCGUCGGGGUGCGUCCCGUAGCUAACGCGUUAAGUCCUGCGCCUGGGGAGUACGGUCGCAAGGCUGAAACUCAAAGAAAUUGACGGA
This 544-nucleotide ribosomal RNA is filed under the name uncultured bacterium. RNAcentral's name for it is "bacterial SSU rRNA". It matches the Rfam family "Bacterial small subunit ribosomal RNA", at positions 365 to 917 of the family's 1533-position model. The record is from RNAcentral.